UGCGUAGGGUGCGAGCGUUACUCGGAAUUACUGGGCGUAAAGCGUGCGCAGGCGGUGAUGUAAGACAGAUGUGAAAUCCCCGGGCUCAACCUGGGAACUGCAUUUGUGACUGCAUCGCUGGAGUGCGGCAGAGGGGGAUGGAAUUCCGCGUGUAGCAGUGAAAUGCGUAGAUAUGCGGAGGAACACCGAUGGCGAAGGCAAUCCCCUGGGCCUGCACUGACGCUCAUGCACGAAAGCGUGGGGAGCGAACAGG
RNAcentral lists this ribosomal RNA (253 nucleotides) under uncultured bacterium. RNAcentral describes it as "partial 16S ribosomal RNA". It matches the Rfam family "Bacterial small subunit ribosomal RNA", at positions 524 to 776 of the family's 1533-position model. The record is from RNAcentral.